UAGCCCAGGAGACAACCGUACACGCAACAC
This 30-nucleotide non-coding RNA is filed under the name Mus musculus (house mouse). The record is from RNAcentral. Lineage: Eukaryota; Metazoa; Chordata; Mammalia; Rodentia; Muridae.